ACUAUUGUUAUUAUGUGUUUUUAUCAGAUGUUUGGACUCUCAAUCUGACGGCACCCAUUCACUGCAGAAGAUCCACUGGUGAGCGAGUGAUGCAAUGCUACAUUUCUCCAAAUCUGUUUUGAUGAAGAAACAAAUUCAUCACAUCUUGGAUGGACUGAGGGUGUAGAGUUUUACCUGGCCUUGCCGUAUCGCGGCUGACGCUGGCAUUUUUUCCUGCGUGUUGCAAUGUGACAACAGGAGACAGGACCGUUUUGAGAAUGAUAAAUAGAAUGAUUUCUGAAGGAUCAUGUGACACUGAAGACUGGAGAGAUGACUGCUAAAUAUUCAGCUGUGCAACACAGUAAUGAAUUACAUUUUAAAUUAUAUAUGCAUAUACUUUUUUUAUUUUAUAAUAAUGUUUUACUAUUUUACUGUUUAUAACACUAUCAAUCAAUUAAAUGACCUUACUGAUCUCAAACACAGUAUUGUAAAUACAACAAAAUAACCACCACAUCCCACAAAAGCAACU
Carassius carassius (crucian carp) is the source of this 508-nucleotide long non-coding RNA. RefSeq lists it as uncharacterized. The record is from RefSeq and is a predicted model, not a curated record. The transcript has 3 exons. NCBI's taxonomy places the organism in Eukaryota, Metazoa, Chordata, Actinopteri, Cypriniformes, Cyprinidae.